CAAAAUAGUCGGCAAAGUUUUUUUGAAAAAAACGAAUUACUAUCUCCCUUUCCCUCCUUCCCCCACACUCUCUCUCUAUCCAACUACUGUUCUUCACUGCAACUUUCAGAUGAACCUAUAAACCCUAAUUUCACCACAAUCCAAUACAAAUCAACCACCACGUCAAUCAAAUGAAUGACAUGUUCGGAUCAGUCCGUCGAUCUCUCGUUUUCCGUUCACCGGACGGCGGCGGCGGCGGCGAUCCCGGAACCCUAGUUGACAAAAUCAAUUCAUGUAUUCGCAAGUCUAGGGUUUUCAGUAGAGCGGUAUCGAUCAUUCCGUCACCGCCGAAGGUGAACAAGGAGAAUAAUAUUGAUGAGCAGGUGCCUGUUAUUCGGUGGCGGAGAGGUGAAUUGAUCGGGUGCGGGGCGUUUGGUCAGGUGUAUAUGGGAAUGAAUCUCGAUUCUGGAGAGCUUUUGGCCGUUAAACAGGUUUCUAUUGCUGCGAAUAGCGAUUCGAAAGAAAAGACUCAGGUUCACAUACGGGAACUUGAAGAAGAAGUAAAGCUUCUGAAGAAUCUGUCUCAUCCAAACAUUGUUAGAUAUCUUGGAACAGUACGCGAAGAGCAAACUUUAAAUAUUCUUCUGGAGUUUGUUCCUGGAGGAUCCAUAUCAUCUCUUUUAGGAAAAUUUGGACCCUUUCCGGAAGCAGUCAUAAGAAUGUACACGAAACAACUGUUAUUGGGUCUUGAUUACUUGCACAAGAAUGGCAUUAUGCACAGAGAUAUUAAGGGGGCGAACAUUCUGGUCGACAAUAAAGGUUGCAUCAAACUAGCAGAUUUUGGUGCAUCAAAGCAAGUUGUUGAGCUUGCUAAUGGGUCAGGGGCAAAGUCAAUGAAGGGAACACCAUAUUGGAUGGCUCCUGAAGUUAUACUCCAGACUGGCCAUAGCUUUUCUGCUGACAUAUGGAGUGUUGGGUGUACGGUUAUUGAGAUGGCUACAGGAAAGCCUCCUUGGAGCCAACACUAUCAGGAGGUUGCGGCUCUCUUUUAUAUUGGCACUACCAAGUCUCAUCCUCCUAUUCCUGACCAGCUUUCUUUUGAGGCACAGGAUUUACUGCUGAAAUGUCUACACAAAGAACCUGAGUUGAGGCCUUCUGCUUCUGAUUUGCUGCAGCAUCCUUUUGUGACAGGGAAAUCUCAGCAACAUUCUCUUGUUGGUACUCCUACAACGGAAAGUGUUGAAGCUCUUUCAUCUUCUUGCACAGACGUUUUGGAUCACUCCCGAGGUUCGCUUGAUGUAUGUAAUCUGGGUACUCUCAACAUCUCUACUGUAAAUUCUGGGAAUUGUAAAGAAUGGGUGGCAGAAGACAACGAUAAUAGCAUGCGUCAGGUAGAUGGCAAUGAUUUUACGGAGGAUGGAGUAAAGUUGAGAUCUGUUUCAAUGCUUAAUGACUUUAAGAGUUUCAACCCUAUGGAAGAGCCUUCUGUUGAUGAGACCUAUGUACUGAAAGGACAAGCAACCUUGGAUGGCGAACAGCGGUCUGAUGAACUUGUCAGUAACAUGAACAUAUCUCCUGACAGCUGUACUUCAUUUCAACUUGGCCGAUCCCUCUCUGAGGACUAUGAUGAGCAUACUGAAUCUAAAAUAAGAGCUUUUCUGGAUGAAAAGGCAUUAGAACUAAAAAGGCUUCAAACGCCUUUGUAUGAAGAGUUCUACAACAGUGUAGUCCUUCCAUGCUCAAUGAGCGAUGUUGAUAAUGGAAGUAGUCCAAAUUACUUGAAACUGCCCCCCAAAAGCAGGUCUCCACUUGGUAAAGCAGUUGACGUGGCAAGUAAUGCAAGCCCCGGGAGUGGAAGUAGGCGCACAUCUAUUGUUAGUGGUGAAGAGAACAUUCAUAGUCCUAUGGACCUUUCUUCACCACAGUGUAAUGAUAUCACUGGGCCUGAUACUCAACAGGAAGCAUGCAGUCCCAAUGUGAACUUUUCUGAAGUACAAAGAAAGUGGAAGGAGGAGCUCGACCAAGAGCUUGAGAGAAAACGAGAAAUGAUGCGUGUUGGGGGAAAGACAGGAUCACCGAUAGACAGAGGGUCAAACCGACGGACAAGAUUUGCAUCUCCAGGAAAUUGAGCAGGCGGUUACUUUUUGAUUGUAUACCACCACCACCAGCGGCACCACCAUGCUUGCAUUUGCAACAAGCUAUUAGUAGAGUGUAACUUACAAUGGGUUUGAAGGUGAAUAAGCAUUUUCAAGGUUGUUUGAAAAUGAAAGCUACUUCAUUUCCCGAAUUCAGAGUUCAGACAUAUAUUGCUAUAACCUUUAGAAGGGCGGUUGAAGCUUUUAUGGUAAUCAUGUACGAGCUAUAUGGUGGUAUACAUUAUGAUAAUCCUUUAGCAACAUUCCUGGACGACUCGAAGAAGCUACCUUUAUGAACAUAUAACUACCCUUAUGGGUU
This is an RNA transcript of Helianthus annuus (common sunflower), 2433 nucleotides long. It is a transcript of the gene named mitogen-activated protein kinase kinase kinase NPK1, with no coding region annotated. Lineage: Eukaryota; Viridiplantae; Streptophyta; Magnoliopsida; Asterales; Asteraceae. The transcript has 18 exons. The record is from RefSeq and is a predicted model, not a curated record.